This is a long non-coding RNA of Lutra lutra (Eurasian river otter), 784 nucleotides long. RefSeq lists it as uncharacterized. Lineage: Eukaryota; Metazoa; Chordata; Mammalia; Carnivora; Mustelidae. The record is from RefSeq and is a predicted model, not a curated record. The transcript is spliced from 3 exons.
ACUGAUAAGGUUUACGGUCCCAGUGGCGAUUUGCAACUCCUGCUCCACAGCGCAGGUCGCUGAGCUCAGAGAAGGACAAUGAACUGAUCCAGAUCACAUAAAUGGUUUUUGGGACAGAGUACCCUGGAGAUUUGAAAAUGCCCACCCACCCUGGAUUUCAUCAUGGAAAUAGGCGUGCCUUCUCUUCACAUCAAUGACAUUGGAUUGCACAAGGAUCUCCUGGUCCUGUCUUCUUGACAAGAGGAGAAUGCAGCUCAGAAAAGGGAAGGCUGGAAACAAAUAAAGCGAGCCAUCUGUAGGCCUUCACCAUAGUGUGGCAGAAAAGUGGUGAAGGGUGAAAGGCCACAGACUGGCUGCCACGCGUGUUGUCAUGUGACAUCAGUCCCAUGUUGAACUUGUGAGGUGUCUCUUUGGUGUAGCUGGAAAGUGAAAAGCAUGCCCUGCAAACAAUACCUGACUUUUGUAAAUUUAUUUUUAAUAAGCAUACAUUACAGUAUCCUCUUUUACGUACAGUUUUAUGAGACCUGACAUAGGCCAGUGUAACCAUCACCACAAUGAGGAUAUAGGACAGCUCCAUUAACACACAGCAACUGCUUUCUGUUCAAACCCUUCAUAUUCAAAUACUCCACCUACCCAGUAACCCUGUGGACCACCAUCAGUUCUUCAUCCCUCUAGCUUUGCCUUUUACACAAUGUCAUAUAAAUGGAAAACUGGCUUUGUUCAUUUGCAUAAUGUGUAAUGUAUUUGAGAUCCAUCCCUGUUGUUGUGUCUAUCAGUAAUCUGU